This 492-nucleotide ribosomal RNA is filed under the name uncultured bacterium. Its description in RNAcentral is "partial 16S ribosomal RNA". It matches the Rfam family "Bacterial small subunit ribosomal RNA", at positions 29 to 507 of the family's 1533-position model. The record is from RNAcentral.
AGUGAACGCUGGCGGCAGGCCUAACACAUGCCAGUCGAACGGCAGCAGGAUAAUAGCUUUCUCUUUGCUGUGGCGAGGCGAACGCGUGUGAAAUAUAUAUGGAACUCUCCUAUUUCGGGGGGGAAAACCUGGGAAAGCUAACUCAAAUACCGCAAACGACCUACAGGAGAAAGCAGGGGAUCAUCGGACCUUGCCCGAUUUUGUGAGCCGAUGUCGGAUUAGCUAGGUGGUGGGGUAAAGGCGCACCAAGGCGACGAUCCGUAGCUGGUCUGAGAGGAUGACCAGCCACACUGGAACUGAGACACGGUCCAGACUCCUACGGGAGGCAGCAGUGGGGAAUAUUGGACAAUGGGCGCAAGCCUGAUCCAGCCAUGCCGCGUGGAUGAAGAAGGCCUUCGGGUUGUAAAGCCCUUUUGGUGGGAAGGAAGAGCAGAAGGUUAAUACCUUGCCGUAUUGACGGUACCCAAAGAAUAAGCACCGGCUAACUCCGUG